Molecule: ribosomal RNA, 386 nt
Filed under: uncultured bacterium
Lineage: Bacteria
Description: bacterial SSU rRNA
Rfam family: Bacterial small subunit ribosomal RNA
Source: RNAcentral
AUUGAACGCUGGCGGCAUGCCUUACACAUGCAAGUCGAACGGUAACGCGGGGCAACCUGGCGACGAGUGGCGAACGGGUGAGUAAAGCAUCGGAACGUGCCCAGUAGUGGGGGAUAGCCCGGCGAAAGCCGGAUUAAUACCGCAUACGACCUACGGGUGAAAGGGGGGGAUCGCAAGACCUCUCGCUAUUGGAGCGGCCGAUGUCAGAUUAGGUAGUUGGUGGGGUAAAGGCCUACCAAGCCGACGAUCUGUAGCUGGUCUGAGAGGACGACCAGCCACACUGGGACUGAGACACGGCCCAGACUCCUACGGGAGGCAGCAGUGGGGAAUUUUGGACAAUGGGCGCAAGCCUGAUCCAGCCAUGCCGCGUGCGGGAAGAAGGCCUC